UGUCCUGCUCCUCUGAGGGAGGGGACAGUCCUCAGUACAGCUGGACUCUGGAUGGACACACACUGACAGACGUUCAGCUCCUCUCUGGAAAUAAUGAGACCAACAUCAUCACUCUGAAACAAGACGUCUCAGGACUACUGGUCUGCUCUGUCAGGAAUCACGUCAGUAAUGUCUCGAAAGAAAAGAAGAUAUCUAUGUGUGGUGAGACAGAACAUAACUAGAAAUCAACUUGAUAAUUGACGAUUACACUGUACAUUAGUCACAGUUGAUCUGUUUGUUUGUCCGUAGGCUUCAUAUUCAUCAACUGCACCUUACCCGAUGGGACAAACAUAUCACAGUGGGUGUUUUCAGCCAAUAACACUCUGUGUAUUGAUCCAACAACCAUGAUCGUGAUCACAGCUAACUCGCUGCUUGUAAGUGUUUUGCGACCAGUUGUGGCACUUUCUCUAUUGGGUGGGAUUGCCAUCUAUUUUGCUUGGAAGAAGAAGAAAUACAAGAAAGCUGAAAUCUCCACCAGACCACGAAUAAAGAACCAUCCAGAGAACUCCUUCGAAAUGGUUGAAUUGUGAAGUUCUGCAUUUGAACGUUAACUUUGUGAAACCAUCAGGAUGGUUUUCACCUUCUGCAGUGAUUGGUCAUGUGUCUUCAAAGGUAUCAAAAUGACAGGAUUUACUGUGAAAUCUCUCUCCUGUUUUUAUUCUUUACAAAACUUCUUCUGCCACUGUGUUCACAGCUCAGAAGCUUGCUGUGAGUACCUUUACAAAAAAGUCUUAGUGAGUGUUUCCUGCAUUUAUCACAGUGCAAAAGAUGGGCUCAGUGCAUCCUUUAUACAGAUUUAAAAAGUAAACAGACCUGUUGUGAAAUCAUCAGUGUACUGCUGCCUUUAGAGAGUGGUAAAGCCUGCAGAUCCCCACAGCUCUGCAUGUGAUCAUAGAACAGAGAAGACAUUACAGUUGAUACUGUCUGAUGAUAAUGUACAAAACUGUUUUCUUUCAUUACUGCUGAAGUGAAUUACAGUUACAAUCAAACACACUUUUAUGUCUAAAUGUGCUGAAAGUGUCAAUUUAUGUUAAAGGAAAAUGUCACAUUGUGAAUAGAGCUUAUAUUGUUAUUUUAGUGCUGAAACUAAUUUUGAUGCUAUUUGGAAAUUAUUGUACUGUAGAUUUCCAUAUCCUCACUGUCCAGCUAAAACCUUGUAUCUCCAAAUUUGGUGAUUUUCUUACUUCUUAAAUUAAACCAAUUUAAACACACUGGAUUAUUGACAUAUGCACUGUCAGAAGUUGAUGUUUUGUUGAUACAUGGUUUUAACUUUUGUAUAGGCAUGUUGAAUUUAGUUGCUACAUACAUUGAAAAAAAUGUGAUUUUGUAUUCAAAGCUUUUUAUUGACAAAUUUGUUUGUAUUAAAGCCCAAAAAGUGAAUCUACAAAAUAUAAAAUGCUGGCAAGUGAA
Molecule: long non-coding RNA, 1449 nt
Organism: Thunnus maccoyii (southern bluefin tuna)
Lineage: Eukaryota; Metazoa; Chordata; Actinopteri; Scombriformes; Scombridae
Exons: 2
Source: RefSeq, a predicted model, not a curated record